RNAcentral lists this ribosomal RNA (803 nucleotides) under Thelephorales sp. SGT-2012. RNAcentral describes it as "eukaryotic LSU rRNA". The stretch from base 227 to 380 matches the Rfam family "5.8S ribosomal RNA". The record is from RNAcentral. Lineage: Eukaryota; Fungi; Basidiomycota; Agaricomycetes; Thelephorales.
UCAUUAAUGAAAUGAAUGUCGAGAUGGGUUGUAGCUGGCCUUUUUUUUGGGGCAUGUGCACACCUUGAUCGCACAUCCACCUCUCACACCUGUGCACUUUAUGUAGCUUGGGAUGAUUACAAUGUUGGAAACAAUGUUGAAAGCCCUAGCUAUGAAUUUUUAUACACCCAUAUACAAAGUUAUAGAAUGAAUAAUGUUAUAGCGUGUAAUAGCGCAAAAUAUAUACAACUUUCAGCAACGGAUCUCUUGGCUCUCGCAUCGAUGAAGAACGCAGCGAAAUGCGAUAAGUAAUGUGAAUUGCAGAAUUCAGUGAAUCAUCGAAUCUUUGAACGCACCUUGCGCUCCUUGGUAUUCCGAGGAGCAUGCCUGUUUGAGUGUCAUAAAAUUCUCAACUACCUUUUUAGCAUCUAUGUUAAGGGUGAAGUUGGAGUUGGAGGAUAAUUGCUGGCGUAACUAAGGUUGCUUGUUGGCUCCUCUUGAAUGAAUGAGCUUUUCUGAUGGAUCAUAGCUCAGUAACACUAAUGUGAUAAUUAUCUACGUUAGAUGUGAAAGCUGUGAGUAGAGUAACUUCAAAUAUGGAGAUGCUCCUAUAGAAAAGGCAUGUCUUGGGGAUAACAAACCCUUGACUUUGAAAUUACAAUGACAAAUCUGACCUCAAAUCAGGUAGGACUACCCGCUGAACUUAAGCAUAUCAAUAAGCGGAGGAAAAGAAACUAACAAGGAUUCCCCUAGUAACUGCGAGUGAAGCGGGAAAAGCUCAAAUUUAAAAUCUGGCAUGCCUUUGGCUGUCCGAGUUGUAGUCU